RNAcentral lists this small RNA (547 nucleotides) under Pongo abelii (Sumatran orangutan). RNAcentral describes it as "processed transcript". The record is from RNAcentral. Lineage: Eukaryota; Metazoa; Chordata; Mammalia; Primates; Hominidae.
UGCUGGAGCCGCGGCGUUUCUCCUCGGGCCCGGGCUGCGCCUGCUCUCCCAGCGCCGGCCGCGCCCGUGGGUGCUCCGGACCGGACUCCGCGGGCGCAGCUGUCCCGACGCUGAGCUGGGGACCCGUGGGGUUCUCGGAGAGGGGCAGAGACCCAAGGGCUGCUGGUGGGGUGAGGCCAUCCCACGCAACUCGGGGGUCUGUGAAGCCACCAAGGAUCAAGGAAUGGAAGAGCUGCCUGGGAGUAGAGGGAGUUCUGUCGGGCUUCUUAAACUUGGAGACUUGGAAACAUGAGGCCUCGUAGGCCACACAGGUUUUCAGAGGCUCGCCUGGCAGAGGCCUUGAGCGUCCUGCUGGGUGGACUGUGGGCACCGAGCCACCAGGAGGCGACGUUGUGGACGUUUACCAGCGGGAGUUCCUGGCGCUGCGCGAUCGGUUGCACGCAGCUGAGCAGGAGAGCCUCAAGCGCUCCAAGGAGCUCAACCUGGUGCUGGACGAGAUCAAGAAGGCCGUGUCGGAAAGGCAGGCGCUGCGAGACGGAGACGGCAA